AAAGGAAUUGACGGGGGCCCGCACAAGCGGUGGAUGAUGUGGAUUAAUUCGAUGCAACGCGAAAAACCUUACCUACCCUUGACAUGUCCGAGAUCCCGAAGAGAUUUGGGAGUGCUCGAAAGAGAAUCGGAACACAGGUGCUGCAUGGCUGUCGUCAGCUCGUGUCGUGAGAUGUUGGGUUAAGUCCCGCAACGAGCGCAACCCUUGUCAUUAGUUGCUACAUUUAGUUGGGCACUCUAAUGAGACUGCCGGUGACAAACCGGAGGAAGGUGGGGAUGACGUCAAGUCCUCAUGGCCCUUAUGGGUAGGGCUUCACACGUCAUACAAUGGUCGGUACAGAGGGUUGCCAACGCGCGAGCGGGAGCCAAUCUCAGAAAGCCGAUCGUAGUCCGGAUCGUAGUCUGCAACUCGACUACGUGAAGUCGGAAUCGCUAGUAAUCGCGGAUCAGCAUGUCGCGGUGAAUACGUUCCCGGGCCUUGUACACACCGCCCGUCACACCAUGGGAGCGGGUUUUACCAGAAGUAGCUAGGCUAACCGCAAGGAGGCCGGUUACCACGGUAGGAUUCGUGACUGGGGUGAAGUCGUAACAAGGUAACC
This 598-nucleotide ribosomal RNA is filed under the name uncultured bacterium. RNAcentral's name for it is "bacterial SSU rRNA". It matches the Rfam family "Bacterial small subunit ribosomal RNA", at positions 903 to 1501 of the family's 1533-position model. The record is from RNAcentral.